This 301-nucleotide ribosomal RNA is filed under the name uncultured bacterium. RNAcentral describes it as "partial 16S ribosomal RNA". It matches the Rfam family "Bacterial small subunit ribosomal RNA", at positions 509 to 807 of the family's 1533-position model. The record is from RNAcentral.
CAGUCGCCGCGGUAAUACGUAGGUGGCAAGCGUUGUCCGGAAUUAUUGGGCGUAAAGGGCUCGCAGGCGGUUUCUUAAGUCUGAUGUGAAAGCCCCCCGCUCAACCGGGGAGGGUCAUUGGAAACUGGGAAACUUGAGUGCAGAAGAGGAGAGUGGAAUUCCACGUGUAGCGGUGAAAUGCGUAGAGAUGUGGAGGAACACCAGUGGCGAAGGCGACUCUCUGGUCUGUAACUGACGCUGAGGAGCGAAAGCGUGGGGAGCGAACAGGAUUAGAUACCCCUGUAGUCCCUGUCUCUUAUAC